This 254-nucleotide ribosomal RNA is filed under the name uncultured bacterium. RNAcentral describes it as "partial 16S ribosomal RNA". It matches the Rfam family "Bacterial small subunit ribosomal RNA", at positions 524 to 777 of the family's 1533-position model. The record is from RNAcentral.
UACAGAGGGUGCAAGCGUUAAUCGGAAUUACUGGGCGUAAAGCGUGCGUAGACGGUUACAUAAGUCGGGUGUGAAAGCCCCGGGCUCAACCUGGGAAUUGCAUUCGAGACUGCGUAGCUAGGGUGCGGAAGAGGGAAGCGGAAUUUCCGGUGUAGCGGUGAAAUGCGCAGAUAUCUGGAGGAACACCGGUGGCGAAGGCGGCAUCCUGGACCACGACUGACGCUGAGGAGCGAAAGCCAGGGGAGCAAAGCGGG